Molecule: ribosomal RNA, 253 nt
Filed under: uncultured bacterium
Lineage: Bacteria
Description: partial 16S ribosomal RNA
Rfam family: Bacterial small subunit ribosomal RNA
Source: RNAcentral
UACGGGGGGGGCAAGCGUUGUUCGGAAUUACUGGGCGUAAAGGGCUCGUAGGUGGCCAACUAAGUCGGACGUGAAAUCCCUCAGCUUAACUGGGGAACUGCGUCCGAUACUGGAUGGCUUGAGUUUGGGAGAGGGUGAUGGAAUUCCCGGUGUAGCGGUGAAAUGCGUAGAGAUCGGGAGGAACAUCAGUGGCGAAGGCGGUCACCUGGCCUAAAACUGACGCUGAAGCUCGAAAGCGUGGGGAGCAAACAGG